AACCAAUCAGGACAUUAAACAGGUUUAAUCAAACCUGCUCAAGAAAAAAACAAAAAGGACCAAUCAGGUGUUAGCGUGGGAUAAAAUAUGGCAUGUUUAGAGUGAUCAUAUUUAUUUUACUCAUAACUAUAAAUGAGCUCCUGAUAAAGAGCUCACUGUCUCUUUAAAACGUCAGCGAUAACGUGUCGUACUGUCUCUUUAAAACGUCAGUGAUAACGUGUCGUACUGUCUCUUUAAAACGUCAGUGAUAACGUGUCGUACUGUCUCUUUAAAACGUCAGUGAUAACGUGUCGUACUGUCUCUUUAAAACGUCUCAGUGAUAACGUGUCGUACUGUCUCUUUAAAACGUCAGUGAUAACGUGUCGUACUGUCUCUUUAAAACGUCAGUGAUAACGUGUCGUACUGUCUCUUUAAAACGUCAGCGAUAACGUGGAUUCAUCACCUUGUCAUUUCAGAGCCAAUAAAUAUAAAGCAAAUAUACACAGAAAAUAACAGUGUGUGUGUGUGCGUGUGUGUGUGUGUGUGUGUUCAGGCAUCAGAUGAAGUUGUACCAGUGCUCUCAGGCUCCUCCUCCUGGACCGUCUCUGGUUCUUGUUCAGCCUCAGUGACCUCCUCCUCCUCCACCACCUCCACCACCUCCUCCUCAGUCUCGGUAACCUCAGCCUCAGGCUCCACCUCCUCUUCCUCCUCUCCACCUACACAGGGCGAGAGCAGGAUGAAGCUCCACAAACGUAUCUACUGUACAUGUUCCUGCUGUUAGGGAGCUGAGAAAUGAUUGAUCUACAGGAUUGAACACCUGAACCUGAUUGAUUAGUGACUCUAAUCAUUCACUCGUUUCUCAUCUGAAUGAAAAUCAAGUAUUUCAGACCAACCAUAAAAGAAGAUGGAAACAUCUUUUAAAGAAGAGUGUGACAUCACUACACAGUCCCAGUGUGGAUGUCAUACUGGGGGGGGGGGGCUCCAGCAGGGGGCGCUGCUGCUGUUACAGUGUAAAGGAAUAAUGUCCACUCAAAGAAUAAAGGUUACAUACAGUAACUACGUUCUAUUUCA
This 1050-nucleotide long non-coding RNA is filed under the name Gouania willdenowi (blunt-snouted clingfish). RNAcentral's name for it is "lncRNA (ENSGWIG00000008928.1)". The record is from RNAcentral. Lineage: Eukaryota; Metazoa; Chordata; Actinopteri; Blenniiformes; Gobiesocidae.